Molecule: ribosomal RNA, 492 nt
Filed under: uncultured bacterium
Lineage: Bacteria
Description: partial 16S ribosomal RNA
Rfam family: Bacterial small subunit ribosomal RNA
Source: RNAcentral
AGUGAACGCUGGCGGCAGGCCUAACACAUGCAAGUCGAACGGCAGCACAGUAAGAUUUUGCCCUUACGGGUGGCGAGUGGCGGAUGGGUGAGGCAUACAUCGGAAUCUACUUUUUCGUGGGGGAUAACGUAGGGAAACUUACGCUAAUACCGCAUAUGACCUACGGGUGAAAGCAGUGGAUCUUCGGACCUCGCGCGACUGAAUGAGCCGAUGUCGGAUUAGCUAGUUGGCGGGGUAAAGGCCCACCAAGGCGACGAUGCGUAGCUGGUCUGAGAGGAUGAUCGGCCACACUGGAACUGAGACACGGUCCAGACUCCUACGGGAGGCAGCAGUAGGGAAUAUUCGGCAAUGGGCGCAAGCCUGAUCCAGCAAUGCCGCGUGGGUGAAGAAGGCCUUCGGAUUGUAAAGCCCUUUUGUUGGGAAAGAAAAACAGCAGAUUAAUACCCCGCUGUUCUGACGGUACCCAAAGAAUAAGCACCGGCUAACUACGUG